Molecule: ribosomal RNA, 1255 nt
Filed under: human gut metagenome
Description: bacterial LSU rRNA
Rfam family: Bacterial large subunit ribosomal RNA
Source: RNAcentral
GCUGGAGGUAUCAGAAGUGCGAAUGCUGACAUGAGUAACGUUAAAGCGGGUGAAAAGCCCGCUCGCCGCAAGCCCAAGGUUUCCUGCUCUACGUUCAUCGGAGCAGGGUGAGUCGGCCCCUAAGGUCAGGCUGAGAAGCGUAGCUGAUGGGAAGCUGGUUAAUAUUCCAGCACCGAUUUCAAGUGCGAAGGGGGGACGGAGUCCUGAAGGUCAUCCGGGUGUUGGAUAUCCCGGUUUACGAGCGUAGGAGGUUGACAGGCAAAUCCGUCAACGGAUCUCCAAGGCGAAGGAUCGAGGUUGAGAGAUCAACUGAAGUGACUGAAUGGGCUUCCAGGAAAAGCCUCUAAGCAUCAGCUUGGAAUUGACCGUACCGCAAACCGACACUGGUGGGCGAGCUGAAUAUGCUCAGGCGCUUGAGAGAACUCAGGAGAAGGAACUCGGCAAAUUGACACCGUAACUUCGGGAUAAGGUGUGCCUUUGUAGUGUGAAGAGAGAAACACUCCGAGCAUGAAGAGGCCUCAGAGAAUCGGUGGCUGCAACUGUUUACUAAAAACACAGCACUCUGCAAAGAUGAAAGUCGACGUAUAGGGUGUGAUGCCUGCCCGGUGCUGGAAGAUUAAUUGAUGGGGUGCAAGCUCCUGAUCGAAGUCCCAGUAAACGGCGGCCGUAACUAUAACGGUCCUAAGGUAGCGAAAUUCCUUGUCGGGCAAGUUCCGACCUGCACGAAUGGCAUAAUGAUGGCCACACUGUCUCCUCCUGAGACUCAGUGAAGUUGAAAUGUUUGUGAUGAUGCAAUCUCCCCGCGGCUAGACGGAAAGACCCCAUGAACCUUUACUGCAGCUUUGCAUUGGACUUUGAACCGAUCUGUGUAGGAUAGGUGGGAGGCAGUGAAGCUAGGACGCCAGUCUUAGCGGAGCCAACCUUGAAAUACCACCCUGAUUUGUUUGAGGUUCUAACCUAGGAGCGUGAUCCGCUUCGGGGACCGUGCAUGGUAGGCAGUUUGACUGGGGCGGUCUCCUCCUAAAGGGUAACGGAGGAGUGCGAAGGUACGCUAGGUACGGUCGGAAAUCGUGCUGAUAGUGCAAUGGCAAAAGCGUGCUUGACUGCGAGACCGACAAGUCGAGCAGAUACGAAAGUAGGUCAUAGUGAUCCGGUGGCUCUGCAUGGAAGGGCCAUCGCUCAACGGAUAAAAGGUACUCUGGGGAUAACAGGCUGAUACCGCCCAAGAGUUCAUAUCGACGGCGGUGUUUGGCAC